ACAUCCUUCUUUAUAUGCCCAUA
This 23-nucleotide microRNA is filed under the name Echinops telfairi (small Madagascar hedgehog). RNAcentral describes it as "Ete-Mir-1-P3_5p* (star (passenger))". Lineage: Eukaryota; Metazoa; Chordata; Mammalia; Afrosoricida; Tenrecidae. The record is from RNAcentral.